Molecule: ribosomal RNA, 440 nt
Filed under: uncultured bacterium
Lineage: Bacteria
Description: bacterial SSU rRNA
Rfam family: Bacterial small subunit ribosomal RNA
Source: RNAcentral
CCUACGGGGGGCAGCAGUGGGGAAUAUUGCACAAUGGGCGAAAGCCUGAUGCAGCCAUGCCGCGUGUGUGAAGAAGGCCUUCGGGUUGUAAAGCACUUUCAGCGAGGAGGAAAGGGUAACGAUUAAUACUCGUUAUCUGUGACGUUACUCGCAGAAGAAGCACCGGCUAACUUCGUGCCAGCAGCCGCGGUAAUACGAGGGGUGCAAGCGUUAAUCGGAAUUACUGGGCGUAAAGCGUGCGUAGGCGGUUUGUUAAGCAAGAUGUGAAAGCCCCGGGCUCAACCUGGGAACUGCAUUUUGAACUGACAGGCUAGAGUACUGUAGAGGGUGGUGGAAUUUCCAGUGUAGCGGUGAAAUGCGUAGAGAUUGGAAGGAACAUCAGUGGCGAAGGCGGCCACCUGGACAGAUACUGACGCUGAGGCACGAAAGCGUGGGGAGCA